This 24-nucleotide non-coding RNA is filed under the name Drosophila melanogaster (fruit fly). The record is from RNAcentral. Lineage: Eukaryota; Metazoa; Arthropoda; Insecta; Diptera; Drosophilidae. RNAcentral also lists the same sequence under 3 other names.
AAACGACUCUCGGCAACGGAUAUC